GAUGAACGCUGGCGGCGUGCCUAAUACAUGCAAGUCGAGCGAACAGACGAUGAGCUUGCUCCUCUGACGGUAGCGGCGGACGGGUGAGUAACACGUGGAUAACCUACCUAUAAGACUGGGAUAACUUCGGGAAACCGGAGCUAAUACCGGAUAAUAUAUUGAACCGCAUGGUUCAAUAGUGAAAGACGGUUUUGCUGUCACUGAUAGAUGGAUCCGCGCCGCAUUAGCUAGUUGGUAAGGUAACGGCUUACCAAGGCAACGAUGCGUAGCCGACCUGAGAGGGUGAUCGGCCACACUGGAACUGAGACACGGUCCAGACUCCUACGGGAGGCAGCAGUAGGGAAUCUUCCGCAAUGGGCGAAAGCCUGACGGAGCAACGCCGCGUGAGUGAUGAAGGUCUUCGGAUCGUAAAACUCUGUUAUUAGGGAAGAACAAAUGUGUAAGUAACUAUGCACGUCUUGACGGUACCUAAUCAGAAAGCCCCGGCUAACUACGUG
This 497-nucleotide ribosomal RNA is filed under the name uncultured bacterium. Its description in RNAcentral is "partial 16S ribosomal RNA". It matches the Rfam family "Bacterial small subunit ribosomal RNA", at positions 28 to 507 of the family's 1533-position model. The record is from RNAcentral.